RNAcentral lists this ribosomal RNA (257 nucleotides) under uncultured Glomus. RNAcentral describes it as "partial 18S ribosomal RNA". It matches the Rfam family "Eukaryotic small subunit ribosomal RNA", at positions 624 to 886 of the family's 1831-position model. Lineage: Eukaryota; Fungi; Glomeromycota; Glomeromycetes; Glomerales; Glomeraceae. The record is from RNAcentral.
AAGCUCGUAGUUGAAUUUCGGGAUCAGACUGUCGGUCGUGCCUCGGUACGCACUGGCAUUAUUGGUUCCUACCUUCUGAAGAACCGCGAUGUCAUUAAUUUGGUGUCGCGGGGAAUCAGGACUGUUACUUUGAAAAAAUUAGAGUGUUUAAAGCAGGCUUACGCUUGAAUACAUUAGCAUGGAAUAAUGAAAUAGGACGUUUGAUUCUAUUUUGUUGGUUUCUAGGAUCGACGUAAUGAUUAAUAAGGAUAGUUGGG